Molecule: long non-coding RNA, 771 nt
Filed under: Anas platyrhynchos platyrhynchos (common mallard)
Lineage: Eukaryota; Metazoa; Chordata; Aves; Anseriformes; Anatidae
Description: lncRNA (ENSAPLG00000017237.1)
Source: RNAcentral
CAAGACAUCUAGACCUAUCAAGAUCGUGGUGAUGCCAAAUACACAUGAAGAGUGAGAUGCCAAAGCAGAAAUGCACUUCACAGCAGGAUUACUUUGUUGUCUGCAGACCUUGUUAUAUCUCAGCUUCCUCCCAAACAGCACAGCUUAGCCUGUUUAUCGAGUUUUGUUUUCACUGCAAAACUUGUCAUGAGGAAGGUUAGACUCAGGGUGCGCUUGGCUUGUCUUAUCAGGGACAGUACAUUAAAAUACUUUGGUCAACUGGGAGUUCACCCUCCAAGCUUGAGGUCCAUGGGCAAACACUAUGGCUUUGAGAUUGGUAUGGGAGUAUUCCUUAAAGGACAGAUGAUGUGCACUAUUUUAAGGAUGUAAGAGCAAGUCCAAUGCAUCAAGAGUACUGUAUCCACGUCCUCAAAGGAGAAAAGUGCUUCAGGAGUCUGUUUUCAAAACAUAUCUGCCAGGUGUGUGCACUCGCUGUGCUCUGGUUUGCCUCACAGACCUGUCUCAAAGCAUGUGAAACAGGAUUCCCCAUGGAUGAAACUCAGCCAGGAGGACAUAAACCAGGACCAUACUUGAAACUUCCCACAGGCAAAUUUCCUCAUCGGACCACAAUAGAGCAUGGAGAGGUCUGGCUGUGCUGGGUCCCCAGAGACUUGCUGCCAGGAGCUCCCCAGCAAGGCGGGGCAGCACCUUUGGCACACCUUGCGAGGUUACGUUAGGCAUCCAGCAUUUGAUAUUACGUGCUUAAAAAUAAAAUAGCUGUUUCAUCAUGCA